AAAGACAAGAGGUAUACUCACAUCCUUUCAAAGUUGCGUCGUCGAUGAAGGUCUGAUCGGUCUCAGUCGUCGACAGCUAGCUUAUAAGACCCUUCAUUUUUGUUUUAUUUCAAGGGAAGGAAGGAUCACGUGAAUGCAUCGUGGACAGCUUCUCCUUUCGCAGGAGCAGCAUGUGAAAUGCGAUACCUCUUGCCGACGCGCUCUUUUUUCUUCUUCUUUUGGUAUGAUAACACAACCGCGAAACACCCGUCUGGCUUUUUCCAAACGCUCUUUGGGAACACCAACCACACACACACAAAAAAGAAACCGUUAUCGCCCUCGCAAGAUGAAUUUUCGACUGGUGGUAUACGCUGUCUGCCACGUACGAGCUUCCAGCAGUGAGUGUGCCACGUAAGAGCCAAGUGAUGUGAGUAUUUCAAACCAUUUCUUGUGUUACAGUGUAUUUUAUAGCUAAAUGAAAUGCGGGCAUGUAUUUGUUUUAAAUUGUUUUUAUUGUUUCGCUCAGAUGAGACAGCAGAGACAUGGUAGCCGAUUUCGAAAGAGUGAUACCGUAACCGCUGUGCUUUCCAUUCCCAAUGAGUCUUGCAAUAUUGUACACAUUGCCGGGACAUCGUUCUAUUACUUGCCUGGGUUCGAAACUUAUUUCACAUAGCUUCGAGCACUCGAAGUUAUAAUAAUUGUGCGCGACAUUUGCUUCUUUCAAGCAAUGCCAUAGUUGACGUGUAUCAUUUUGCGACAGAUUUACUCCGUAUCUCGUCGGAUGACCAUUGCUGAGCCAAAGGCGUACGGCAGUUACUGCAGCUGGACAUCGGUGGACGUAGAUGUUAUGGUCAAUCUGAGUCACGGUAGUGCAUUUUCCCUGUUUCAGUGUUGGUUUUGUAAAUUCUGUUGUAGCUACGAAAACGAACAGGGAAACAGCACUCAGAAAGGACAAGGUGUAGCAGAACAUCUCCGGACAUCUAUUUACCAUGACGACCUACAGUAAAAUGAGACAACUCGUCAUGGAUUUCAAUAUUUAUUGGUAUGAGGAUGGCGACAUUUUCCUUGGAGUUGAUGAUCCUGGGUAACGUCCCGCAUGCCGCACACAUCAUCACCCGAUUGGGACCAGGAAUCGCCAGCGUUGGCUGGCUGUUCGACAUCGGACCAGUGAUCGCCAGUCAUUUCGUCGUCGGUGGUGGCAGGUAGUUCUCCGGAACCCAAGUCCUUCUACGACUUCCAGAAGGUUGCAACAGUCGGUCCAACGUGUCCGAAGGAUCAUCGUCGUCAUCAUUGCAUCAGUGUACAAGUAAGCAUCAUGUCUUCGUCGAUCUUGCAUAAACUUGACAAGUUAAAGAAAUGUGGAGAGUUUCAAAAAAUGGCGACAAUUCCUAAAAACAUCAAGUAUGAUGUGGUUGAUGUUAACAAAAUUGAAACGAGGUAUGGCGAGGCGGUCUACGUAGAAAUUAUGAAGGAUCACGAGCACGUAAAGGUGUUCCUUCCAGCUCGGUUUCAUAAACUAAGCACUCAAGACAUCGAAGACAUGAGGAACACGAGCGGGCUCUGGAUGGAGAAGAAAGAGCGAGUUGGAAAAGAGGGGAAACGUCUUCUUUCGCCAGACAUCGUGUUCGGUCAAUCCGAGUAAAAAAAUAAAAAGAAAUGGUGACAUGCCACCUUUGUCCUCCGGCCGAUCGGCAGCACUACACAACAGCGCUGGGACUUCAAGUUCAUCUGGCUAACGUUCAUAACCUUGCAACACCCUGUAUCCCAUUUUGUGAGACACUCUGUACGCUCCGCAACUAUACCAACCGCUAUGAGCUUCAUCUACAUGACAGAGACGACGACGGGCAGGAUGUCAGCACAUUCUUUCAUGAAAACGGACGCUACCUUGCCGGUGUACUUCGACAUUUCGGAUUUCCGUUACGCUUUUAUGUUUUGCUGAAGGCGGAACUCGGUCGACAUACGCCUGAGGAUGAGAUCAUAUUUGUCACUCAAUUUAUUCCUUCGAAUGUGCAUACGCUGUGGUCGGAACGAGACGUAGAACGUGCUGUCAUUGAAGUAGGCACUGAAGUCACCAACAAUUUAGAAAAGCUUGAAAUGCAAGGGUCGGGAUUUUUCUUAUUUCGAAUUCACGCCUGCAUUCUUCAUGUCGGUCGUCUCGCACCACAGCUCAUUGGUUGUACCGACUUUGAAUUGCCAAACGAAUUGAAAAAAAAGUGUCGGUGUCUUCUGAAUGUCGACCUUCACGAGGAUAGUGAACAGAACAUGUGUUUCGCAUUUUGCGUACUUGCCGGUCUACAUCCUGCAAAGGGUUCUUACAGACGCAGAGCUUCAUCCUACAGGUCAUAACUGUCUCAAUAUGUAUUUCCAGAGACGUUUCCUGUAGUGUUCCCGAAAGAUGUAGAAAUGUUUGAGAAGCAGAACGAUGUGAGCAUUAACGUGUACGGUUAUGACAAAGAUGAAAAAUAUGUUUACCCGAUUAAGGUUGUUGACGACCAGUGCAAGAAGCAUGUCGACCUACUGCUGAUUGACUUCCAUUUUGUACUCAUUACUAAUUUCAAUGCUUUGUUCACACCACCUGGUUAUUUUCACUGCAAACGGUGUACGAUGGGUUUCACCACCCCGGGUGUACUCGCCGAUCAUCUACUAAUGUGUAAACAACAAAAAGUGUCCAAGACUAUUUUUCCAAAGAAAGGUGAGACACUGUCGUUUGCCGGAGAGCAUUUGAUGUCGGAAGUUCCCUUCUACUGUGUAUACGACUUUGAGAGUGUACUAUCACCGUGUUCGGGAGGCGGGAAUGUCUACGAGGAACACAUCCCUUCAUCCUUCUGUCUCCUCGUCAUACGCUCGU
Long non-coding RNA from Ornithodoros turicata, 2827 nucleotides. RefSeq lists it as uncharacterized. NCBI's taxonomy places the organism in Eukaryota, Metazoa, Arthropoda, Arachnida, Ixodida, Argasidae. The transcript has 3 exons. The record is from RefSeq and is a predicted model, not a curated record.